AUUGAACGCUGGCGGCAGGCUUAACACAUGCAAGUCGAACGGUAACAUAAAGAAGCUUGCUUCUUUGAUGACGAGUGGCGGACGGGUGAGUAAUGCUUGGGAAUCUAGCUUAUGGAGGGGGAUAACUACGGGAAACUGUAGCUAAUACCGCGUAGAAUCGGGAGAUGAAAGUGUGGGACCUUCGGGCCACAUGCCAUAGGAUGAGCCCAAGUGGGAUUAGGUAGUUGGUGAGGUAAAGGCUCACCAAGCCGACGAUCUCUAGCUGGUCUGAGAGGAUGACCAGCCACACUGGGACUGAGACACGGCCCAGACUCCUACGGGAGGCAGCAGUGGGGAAUAUUGCGCAAUGGGGGCAACCCUGACGCAGCCAUGCCGCGUGAAUGAAGAAGGCCUUCGGGUUGUAAAGUUCUUUCGGUGCGAGGAAGGCAUUUAGUUUACUAAACUGGAUGAUUGACGUUAACUACAGAAGAAGUACCGGCCAUCUCUCGCACCUGCUCCCGCGGUAAUGCC
RNAcentral lists this ribosomal RNA (510 nucleotides) under Parahaemophilus parainfluenzae. RNAcentral's name for it is "Haemophilus parainfluenzae bacterial SSU rRNA". It matches the Rfam family "Bacterial small subunit ribosomal RNA", at positions 30 to 527 of the family's 1533-position model. Lineage: Bacteria; Pseudomonadati; Pseudomonadota; Gammaproteobacteria; Pasteurellales; Pasteurellaceae. The record is from RNAcentral.